This 293-nucleotide ribosomal RNA is filed under the name uncultured microorganism. RNAcentral's name for it is "partial 16S ribosomal RNA". It matches the Rfam family "Archaeal small subunit ribosomal RNA", at positions 330 to 622 of the family's 1478-position model. The record is from RNAcentral.
GCGCAGCAGUCGAGAAUCCUCCGCAAUACACGAAAGUGUGACGGGGCCAUCCCGAGUGCCGUCCGCUGAGGACGGCUUUUCCCCAGUGUACAUAGCUGGGGGAAUAAGGAGAGGGCAAGCCUGGUGUCAGCCGCCGCGGGUAAUACCAGCUCUCCGAGUGGUGGGGACGCUUAUUGGGCCUAAAGCAUCCGUAGCCGGCUGGGCAAGUCCUCCGUUAAAUCCAACGAUUCAAUCGUUGGGCUGCGGGGGAUACGUGUCCAGCUUGGGGGGCGGGAGAGGCCGACGGUAUUCCC